GAGGGAGAUUUGACACAAAUACAGACAGACGAGGAGGCGACGAGACCACAGAGGCAGAUUGGAAUGAUGUGGCCAUGAACCAAGGGCUGCUGGUGGCCGCCAGGAGCUGGGAGAGGGUGACAGCUUGCUUGGUGGAGUAGGCCUUCUGCAGAAGCUGUUUCCUUAGGAGCCUCAGCCUCUCUGAGAGAAGAGAAGGCCAGGCUGGACCACAGAGCCCAGGGGAGGCUGCUGAGGGACCGGAAGCAAUACCCAGGGUCCAGUGAGGCCAAUGCUGGGGGUCAAGUGAGGCUGAGGGCCAAGGUGGGGCCCGGAGUCCAGUGAGAUGGAGGAUCAGCCACCAGUGAGAGGAGGCGUCGUUUGCCCGCUGCUGAGUGUGGUGAAAGCCUGGCAGACGGGGGCCUCCGAUGGCCAAGUCACCCCUCACCACCUGCUGCUCCAAGAGCCCGGGGUCUUCAUCUGUCCAGGGUCACCCCGGCCCUGCAAUUCUCAGGGCUUUCUUUUGUCCAGCGAGGAUACAGGAGAGUAGGGCCUUGGUCUCUCAGACCAGGCUUGGGCCAUCCCUGGAGCCUUGGCCCUACUCUCACUCAGCUGUGUACCUCAUCAUCUCACAGAUUAGAGCCAGGAAAAGGAAACCAGUGAGAC
This 642-nucleotide long non-coding RNA is filed under the name Equus caballus (horse). Its description in RNAcentral is "lncRNA (ENSECAG00000050769.1)". The record is from RNAcentral. Lineage: Eukaryota; Metazoa; Chordata; Mammalia; Perissodactyla; Equidae.